RNAcentral lists this ribosomal RNA (109 nucleotides) under Castor canadensis (American beaver). The record is from RNAcentral. Lineage: Eukaryota; Metazoa; Chordata; Mammalia; Rodentia; Castoridae.
GUGUACAGCCAUGCCACCUUGAACGUGCUGGAUCUCAUCUGAUCUCAGAAGCUAAGUAGGAUUGGGCCUGGUUAGUACGUUCAUGGGAGAAAAAGAGGACACUUUAGCA